Triticum aestivum (bread wheat) is the source of this 1110-nucleotide long non-coding RNA. RefSeq lists it as uncharacterized. The transcript has 3 exons. NCBI's taxonomy places the organism in Eukaryota, Viridiplantae, Streptophyta, Magnoliopsida, Poales, Poaceae. The record is from RefSeq and is a predicted model, not a curated record.
UUGACUCAUCUCCGCUCGUUCCAGUUCACACCACGCCUCCACUAAUCCAUCCUCUCGGCCUCUCCUCGCACCGUUCCCAGGCACGCAGCGCUCGCCCUAGCCGACACGCAGGCACGCAGCGCCGCCGGAGGCCGAUGUCAACCGUCGGAGGCGACCCUGGCGGCGACGCCCCAUCCCCCACGUCGGCCGCGCCCGGCCUCCCGCGAGCCCCUCCUCUUCCGCUCGGAGGGAGCAGCAGCCGAGCAGGAACGAGCAACACUGGCGGCGGCCCCCCGCCACCCGCGCCGGCGGUGCCCGGCCCCGCACCCGCCCCUCCUCUUCGGCUCAGAGGGAUCAGCAGCCGGGCAGGGACGGGCAACCCUGUCGGCGGCGCCCCGCCCCCCGUGGCACAGAAACAGAAGAUGAAGAGAAGUGGAAUUUUUGGCAGUAGCAUAUUUGCAAUGUGGGAAAAGGCUUCAAAGGCAAGGAAAAUAAACGAAGUAUCCACGCCGAAUCAGACAGUAGCUACAUCUUGUACUUGUACUUCUCCUGUUCAUCUUGAGAGCAAUUUGCAGUUGUGCUUGUGGAGACAAACAAGCAUGAAUAAUAUCAUAUUGUUUACAAGCUUCUUAAGUUGGUAUUGAUUCUGCUAGUAGCUACUGCUAGUGUUGAAAGGGUAUUCUCUUCAAUGAGCCAUGUGAAGAAUAAGCUAAGGAGCAAAAUGGGUGAUGAAUAUUUGAACAAUUGUUUGGUUACAUUUGUUGAGAGAGAACUUUUCAAUCAAGUGAAGGAUGAAGAUGUCAUCAAUCUCUUUCAAAAAGGCGACCGCAAAGUUAUAUUGUAAGAAGGAUAACAUCACUUUAUCAAUCAAAAGGUCCGUAACCGAUCACACUUCCUUGGUGUUUCACCAGGUAUAAGGUUUCGACUCAUAUUACCCUUCUCCAGGUGUUGUACCUCAUACUCAUGGCAACAUAUCCUGAUUGCUCAUUACUUAUGUGGUGCCAUUCUAAUUGAUUUAAUUCAGUAACCUACAUGUUUGAGGUGAGGUGCCUGCAGUUGUUUAAAUUUGAUAAUGCCACUAUCAUCUGGGUUAUUAAUUUCCUUAAGCAAGUUCUUUGGACACUAUUACAA